GUUUAAAUAGCUUAUUUAGAGUAUAAUAUUGAAGAUAUUAGGGAGAUCGUUAGAUUUUUA
RNAcentral lists this transfer RNA (60 nucleotides) under Noteridae sp. MJTNT-2012. RNAcentral's name for it is "tRNA-Phe". Lineage: Eukaryota; Metazoa; Arthropoda; Insecta; Coleoptera; Noteridae. The record is from RNAcentral.